GAUGAACGCUAGCUACAGGCUCGACACAUGCAAGUCGAGGGGUAACGAGAGGAAAGCUUGCUUUCCUUGUCGACGACCGGCGCACGGGUGAGUAACGCGUAUCCAACCUGCCCCCAACUAGGGAAUAACCUUGCGAAAGUAAGACUAAUACCCUAUAAUUUCCUCAGAUGUCAUCUGACGAGGAAUAAAGAUUUAUCGGUUUUGGAUGGGGAUGCGUCGGAUUAGCUUGUUGGCGGGGUACCGGCCCACCAAGGCAACGAUCAGUAGGGGUUCUGAGAGGAAGGUCCCCCACAUUGGAACUGAGACACGGUCCAAACUCCUACGGGAGGCAGCAGUGAGGAAUAUUGGUCAAUGGGCGGAAGCCCGAACCAGCCGAGUAGCGUGCAGGAUGACGGCCCUAUGGGCUGUAAACUGCUUUUAUACAGGAAUAAAGUUAGCCACGUGUGGUUAUUUGUAGGUACUGUAUGAAUAAGGACCGGCUAAUUCCGUGCCAGCCGCCGCCGUAA
RNAcentral lists this ribosomal RNA (506 nucleotides) under uncultured bacterium. RNAcentral's name for it is "partial 16S ribosomal RNA". It matches the Rfam family "Bacterial small subunit ribosomal RNA", at positions 28 to 523 of the family's 1533-position model. The record is from RNAcentral.